UACAGAGGUCUCAAGCGUUGUUCGGAUUCACUGGGCGUAAAGGGCGCGUAGGCGGCGCGGUAAGUCGAGCGUGAAAUCUCGGAGCUUAACUCCGAGACUGCAUUCGAUACUGCCGUGCUUGAGGACUGGAGAGGAGACUGGAAUUUACGGUGUAGCGGUGAAAUGCGUAGAUAUCGUGAGGAAGACCAGUGGCGAAGGCGGGUCUCUGGGCCGAUACUGACGCUGAGGAGCGAAAGCGUGGGGAGCGAACAGG
Molecule: ribosomal RNA, 253 nt
Filed under: uncultured bacterium
Lineage: Bacteria
Description: partial 16S ribosomal RNA
Rfam family: Bacterial small subunit ribosomal RNA
Source: RNAcentral